Molecule: ribosomal RNA, 484 nt
Filed under: uncultured bacterium
Lineage: Bacteria
Description: partial 16S ribosomal RNA
Rfam family: Bacterial small subunit ribosomal RNA
Source: RNAcentral
AUUGAACGCUGGCGGCAUGCUUUACACAUGCAAGUCGAACGGCAGCGCGGUCUUCGGCCUGGCGGCGAGUGUCGAACGGGUGAGUAAUACAUCGGAACGUGCCCAGUAGUGGGGGAUAGCUCGUCGAAAGCCGGAUUAAUACCGCAUACGACCUGAGGGUGAAAGCGGGGGAUCUUCGGACCUCGCGCUAUUGGAGCGGCCGAUGGCAGAUUAGCUAGUUGGUGGGGUAAAGGCCUACCAAGGCGACGAUCUGUAGCUGGUCUGAGAGGACGACCAGCCACACUGGGACUGAGCCACGGCCCAGACUCCUACGGGAGGCAGCAGUGGGGAAUUUUGGACAAUGGGCGAAAGCCUGAUCCAGCAAUGCCGCGUGUGUGAUGAAGGCCUUCGGGUUGUAAAGCACUUUUGGCGGGAACGAAAAGGACUGUGCCAAUACCACGGUUCGAUGACGGUACCCGCAGAAUAAGCACCGGCUAACUACGUG